CCUACGGGAGGCAGCAGUGAGGAAUAUUGGUCAAUGGCCGUAAGGCUGAACCAGCCAAGUCGCGUGAAGGAAGAAGGAUCUAUGGUUUGUAAACUUCUUUUAUAGGGGAAUAAAGGUAUUCACGUGUGGAUCUUUGCAUGUACCCUAUGAAUAAGCAUCGGCUAACGCCGUGCCAGCAGCCGCGGUAAUACGGAGGAUGCGAGCGUUACCCGGAUUUAUUGGGUUUAAAGGGCGCGUAGGUUGUUUGUUAAGUCAGGGGUGAAAGUUUGUGGCUCAACCAUAAAAUUGCCGUUGAAACUGGAAGACUUGAGUGUGUUUGAGGUAGGCGGAAUGCGUGGUGUAGCGGUGAAAUGCAUAGAUAUCACGAAGAACUCCGAUUGCGAAGGCAGCUUACUAGGCCAUAACUGACGCUGAGGCGCGAAAGCGUGGGGAUCAAACAGGAUUAGAUACCCCUGUAGUC
RNAcentral lists this ribosomal RNA (460 nucleotides) under uncultured bacterium. RNAcentral describes it as "partial 16S ribosomal RNA". It matches the Rfam family "Bacterial small subunit ribosomal RNA", at positions 338 to 795 of the family's 1533-position model. The record is from RNAcentral.